Molecule: non-coding RNA, 298 nt
Organism: Pelobates cultripes (western spadefoot toad)
Lineage: Eukaryota; Metazoa; Chordata; Amphibia; Anura; Pelobatidae
Source: the annotation of a GenBank genome assembly
GAUAAAAUUCACUGCGGAGACAUCAGCAAACAUUCCAUUGAAAUGCAGAGAAAGGAAAAGCCAACUGAUCCAUUAAACUCCACUGGCCCGUUCAGUUCAGGGAAGGGGAAAUCAAUAGCGUUCCUCUUAGUCAUCAUUUAGAUCAAAGAAAUGAACAUUUCUAGACGGUGGACACUUGGCCCUUCUUGCUUUAUGUUGCAGAUUCCCAUAAUCCUUCUACCUGGUGGAUUUUGGAUGUUUAAAUAUAAGUAAUGGAUAAAUACAGACAAAGCCUAUCCCACUUUGUUUACACAUGGAU